AAGACUAUAGACCUGCGGAGUACCUGCGGAGGGAUCAUUAUUGGAUUGAGGGUCACGAGCUUGCUCGGACCCGUACAAUCAAUAACCUCUUGUGAACCUGUCGGCCCUCGGGCCUUCAAACUCCAAACUUUGUGUGUUGUAUGAACGUCAUGUCUAAAAACAUAACACAACUUUUAGCAACGGAUCUCU
Molecule: unclassified non-coding RNA, 189 nt
Filed under: soil metagenome
Description: partial contains 5.8S ribosomal RNA, internal transcribed spacer 2, and large subunit ribosomal RNA
Source: RNAcentral